GUGGUCUCUUAACAUUUUUUUUUUCUUCCCAGGAACAUUGUAGGGGCAGAGAUCAUCAUAGAUCAUUGAUGGACCUGUGAAUUGGAAAACAAAACCUUCCUGAAAACCAACAAUGAUGAAAAGACAAUAAAAUGACCACAGCAAUCUUCACCUGAUCACAUGAAGGUCGCUGCCCCAACAAAAGUCAACUAGAGGAAAGAACUGUAUGGUUGAUGAAUAUGAUUUUGGAGUCCGGGGAGUCAGCCAAGAAAAGGUAGCCAGAAGCAGUGAGUGGAAACCAGAGGCAGUGAGUGCAAACCUGAGGCAGAAAGUGGAAAGUAUCAAAGGAAUCCUGUGGAAAGCUACCUGAACACAGAGAGUAGUCGUCAACAGAGUAAAGUCCGAGGCAGCUACGGUGAAAAGCUCUGUUCCACAAGGCACAGUACUCGCUCCCAUCUUGUUCCUCAUCCUCAUAUCCGACAUAGACAAGGAUGUCAGCCACAGCACCGUGUCUUCCUUUGGAGAUGACACCCGAAUCUGCAUGACAGUGUCUUUCAUUGCAGACACUGCAAGGCUCCAGGCGGACAUCAACCGAAUCUUUCAGUGGGCUGCAGAAAACAAUGUGAAGUUCAACGAUGAGAAAUUUCAAUUACUCAGAUAUGGUAAACACGAGGAAAUUAAAUCUUCAUCAGAGUACAAAACAAAUUCUGGCCACAAAAUAGAGCGAAACACCAACGUCAAAGACCUGGGAGUGAUCAUGUCGGAGGAUCUCACCUUCAAAGACCAUAACAUUGUAUCAAUCGCAUCUGCUAGAAA
This is a non-coding RNA of Cherax quadricarinatus, 795 nucleotides long. Lineage: Eukaryota; Metazoa; Arthropoda; Malacostraca; Decapoda; Parastacidae. The record is from RefSeq and is a predicted model, not a curated record.